AAGACCUUGCGCUUUUGGAGCGGCCGAUGCCUGAUUAGCUUGUUGGUAAGGUAAAAGCUUACCAAGGCUUCGAUCAGUAGCUGGUCUGAGAGGACGACCAGCCACACUGGGACUGAGACACGGCCCAGACUCCUACGGGAGGCAGCAGUGGGGAAUUUUGGACAAUGGGGGCAACCCUGAUCCAGCCAUGCCGCGUGAGUGAUGAAGGCCUUCGGGUUGUAAAGCUCUUUCAGCCGGAACGAAACGGUUACGGAUAACACCCGUGACUACUGACGGUACCGGAAGAAGAAGCACCGGCUAACUACGUGCCAGCAGCCGCGGUAAUACGUAGGGUGCGAGCGUUAAUCGGAAUUACUGGGCGUAAAGCGUGCGCAGGUGGUUUUGUAAGUCAGAUGUGAAAGCCCCGGGCUCAACCUGGGAACU
This 423-nucleotide ribosomal RNA is filed under the name uncultured bacterium. RNAcentral describes it as "bacterial SSU rRNA". It matches the Rfam family "Bacterial small subunit ribosomal RNA", at positions 207 to 622 of the family's 1533-position model. The record is from RNAcentral.